GACAGAGAGCAGAGGGCAGAAGGUUAGGUUCAGUUGACUGUGGAUGCUGGAAGAGAAAGAGGAUUGACCCAGAUCAGAACAGAGAGUAGCCUCGGAUGCACCAUCUGGGGGCUUCCUGCUCCUUGGGAAUGAGGGUCUGAUGUCAACGCCAGCUCACCACCAUGUGACACGUGCACCUGUGUCCAGGCCAGCCCACAGAGGCGCUCCAGGUGCCCAGCCUCCUGGAGUCCUUCCUGACUGCUUGUCCAAGACACCCAGGAAUCUCAGACUCGUCACAGCAGCCUUGUCACAGAAUUCAAUCUUGAGGUUAAACCGGGGCAAAACUUCCCUCAUUCAGCGGCGAGGAUGGGAAGCCGUGACUUUGCUCCUUGAUGCUGAGCCCUCCUGGAGCCCCGGGAAAGUCGGCUGGGCUGGCUCCUUCUGAUGGCUGAGCACAGGGACAAACUUCCUCUUCCAAGGCCACAGGCACUUCUUAGGUGUAACAGAGGAGGUGCCUAACCGCUCGCGCAGAGACAUGCUGAGCUUGAGUCAGACGCAGCCACCAGGUGGUGCCUUGGAUCACCUUCCACGGAGCAGGCCCGGCAUCUUCGUGGGAAGAAUACAUUGUCUAUGCGUGGUCAGGAGGGCACACUGAGGUAGCCUUCUAGGACUCACCUGUACCUGGCUCUCGUCUCCUGGACGCCCCCAGAGCAGCAGCGGCAGUCAGGAUUCAAAUCCUGAGCGUUUAACCAGCACACCGUGUGAGCUCAUCUGAUUGUCGCAAGGAGGCCAUCAUUGUGGCGACUCCAGGCCCCUCAGAAUCUGACAAGCUCCUCCUGCCUCGCUACAGAAUCACCUGUCUAGAAACCUGAAUGCUGCUCCCUUAAGAGUGCUGGAUAAACUGGGCCACAUCCAGCCUCUCUGACCGUGUUUAACUUCUACCGUAUCCAAUCUACUGCUGUUGUAGGGGAGGAAAAAUAAUUUUCCCUCUGCC
This is a long non-coding RNA of Equus quagga, 973 nucleotides long. RefSeq lists it as uncharacterized. The transcript is spliced from 3 exons. Lineage: Eukaryota; Metazoa; Chordata; Mammalia; Perissodactyla; Equidae. The record is from RefSeq and is a predicted model, not a curated record.